Molecule: long non-coding RNA, 228 nt
Filed under: Physcomitrium patens
Lineage: Eukaryota; Viridiplantae; Streptophyta; Bryopsida; Funariales; Funariaceae
Description: long non-coding RNA (PPAT_LNC005690)
Source: RNAcentral
UUUAAGUAUUUCAUAAAAAGAGCUAUUCAUGUAAUGUUCACCAAACAUUGUAGCUUCACAAUACUUUGUUAUAUUUUCUGUCCUAUCUAAUAGAAUGGGAAAGACACAAGGAAGAAGUUGAUUAAACAAAUUAAAGAAAAAAGGUUUGCAAUCUACAAAAUUAGAGUUCUUCACAAAAUUAGAGUUCAUUACAAAAAGAUAUAGUAGAUAUUUUCUAAAUAAAUAGAU